Non-coding RNA from Cricetulus griseus (Chinese hamster), 2354 nucleotides. NCBI's taxonomy places the organism in Eukaryota, Metazoa, Chordata, Mammalia, Rodentia, Cricetidae. The record is from RefSeq and is a predicted model, not a curated record.
UGCUUGAAGUUUAUUUUUUGAGGGGCAAUGAGAUACCUCAGUAGGUAAAGGCACUUGCAUGUGCAAGCCUGUUGACCUGAGUUUGAUCCCUGGAAACCAUAUAAAGGCAAAAGGAGAGAACUCCAUAGUGCUGUCCAUUGACAUCAAUACUACAUGUAACAUGGCACAUACAUUCACGUAUACACAUCAUGCACACACAUACUCAACAGCGUAUUUAAUCUGUUUUGUUCACACUAUCCCCAGCCUAAGCACAUUCUCAUCACUACAUGCUUGGCUUCUUGGUCUGUUCCAUUAACUUCCUAAAUGAGCCCCUAACUCCAGUUUCUCUUCUCUUCAAUUUAUUUAUCCACAGUUGCACAUUCCGUCUAAAAUUUCUGGCUGAUUUGUGCUUUAGUGUACAAAGGUUUUCUGUUUCCCUUGUUCCUCUAAGGAUCAAGUACAAACUCCCUACUUACUGGCAUCAAAGCCCUGAUGCCCAGUCCUAAUUAACUGGUGGAACCAUUUCCCACCAUUUCUUCUGUACUUCAGACAUCUUGAAUGUAGUAAUUCCAUGUUGUAGGGCCCGCCUGCUCUAUGCAUUGUGGGUAGCUUAGCAGCAUUCCUAUCCUCCUUCCAGGUAGCCCAACAUGUACCCAGGCAUGGUCAGGUGUCCCCAGCUGAGAACUACUGCCAUUCAUGUACCAUAUGCACCAACCCAAUUGAAUGGCUUGCUCAGCCUUCCUCUUUGCACCUACCCUCGUCUCCCUGGUUCCUAACUGAUUAUUCUAUAAUUGUAACUAUCAACUCCCACCAAUAUGUCAAAGACUAGUUGAAAGGAACCUUCCAGUGACUCACCUCUUCCUGUCACUAGUUGUGACCUUCUCCUGUACAAAUGGGAGAGCAGCAUCCAGAGUGUUGGUGCUGGAAUCCCAUGGUGGGUAUCAUCGGUAGGUGGGAAGAAGAGGUAGGGUGAGUCCUGUCUGCAGUGUUCUUUUUCUCAGGGAUGGUGAUUGAAAGUGGGGCCUCAUGCAUGCAGCUCACAUACUGAAUCAUUAAGUCACACAUCCAGCCCCACACUGAUUUUCUAAGUUCUGCAUUAAGCAUGUCAUUUUUGUGACUGAAAGCAAAAUGCCACUGGAAAAGAUAUUUAGCAGUUAGUUAAAGGUUUUGCGGGAUGCAAGGUAGGAUUUUGUUGAGCUUGUCUUUGUAGGAAAUGAGACACUGUUAGGAGGCAGAGGAGAAGAGGUAGUGGGGAAGACAGACAGUGAUCAAAGUCACAAUUUAGUGACAGGCAGCCAAGCUGAGUAAUUCAAACAUUUUUUUUUAUAUGCAAAGAAGUGUCAAUGGUGAAUACAGACAGUGAAUAAGAUGCCUCCUAGCCAGAUGUCUCAUGCCCUUUCAACUGCAGACCAAGUUUUUAGUAACUUCCUGGAAAGAAGGAUUUGUUCAUUGAGGCAGAUCUCAUGAGCCCUUUGGAUCGAAUUGCUAAUGUCUCCAUCCUAAAGCAACAUGAAGUAGACAAGCUGUACAAGGUGGAGAACAAGCCGGCCCUCAGCUCCAAUGAACAGUGAGUGUCUGGGAGUCUCUGUGGCCUCCAUGCUGGAGGAGGUCCCUAGGUGUAUAUUUGCCCUGCUUUGUCCAUGCCUGAGAUCUACAACCACAGUGCCUGUUAUGUGGCCCAGUUCCCUGAAUGUUGACAAUAUCAUGGGCAGAUUGUUAGUCUUCCUUACUGCAGUUUCUCCCACUCUGUCCUCUUCCCUCCUUCCUCCAUGCUAUUAUCUAUAGCUAGAAUUAUUUCUUUGUUAUCCUGCUGUCUAACACCUGCAGAGGCAGCUGGAGGAUGGCUCAGCUUCAGGAAGUGGGUAAAGCACUUGCUGGGAAAGUCCAGUAAUCUGAGUUCAGUCUCUGGAGCCCAUGGAAGGGUAGAAGGAGAUAAUCCACUUCACAGAAUUAUCCUCUGACUUCUGCACGUGGACCUGCAUUCACACAUACACAACAGCAAUGAAUAGAUAAUAAAUAGAGUCUCCAGGAUCGAUGAGAUGGCUUAGUAGGUAAAGAUAUUUGCCGCCAUGCCUACCACACAACAUGAGUUUCACCCACAUAGGGGAAGAAGAGAACCUUCUCCCACAGGUUGUCCUCUGACCUCCACAACACAAGCUGUAGUACAUGUACACACAGACAGACACACAGACACACACACACAAAUAAAUAAGUAAAUGUUAAAAGGAAAACACUUCCAAGACUUCACAUUAAUUACUGGAUACUGUAGUCCAGUUGAGCAUCCUAAGUUUCAAGGCCUUGAUGCUAUCCAUAUAGUCUUGUUCCUCAUAUGUCCUUUCAAGCCUCUGUUGACAUUGCUUCCACACAUAUUACAU